Molecule: ribosomal RNA, 4085 nt
Filed under: Triticum aestivum (bread wheat)
Lineage: Eukaryota; Viridiplantae; Streptophyta; Magnoliopsida; Poales; Poaceae
Description: partial small subunit ribosomal RNA
Source: RNAcentral
CUUGAUCUUGGUAGUGAGAAAUUAUGGUGACGUGGUAGAUGUGUCCUCUCAUGUUUGUUAGUAGGUACUUGUCCUUGAUCUUGGUUUCAACGACCAGCUUUUUCUUUCAUGCAGAUUUGUUAUUUUUUGGCAAUUAUGAGAGAUGAUAUCGGUAGGCGUAGAUAGAGAAGAAAACGAAGCCACAUGCUGCAUCCCUUCUUUGUGGUGGUCCUUGUGUUUGCUUGGCAAAAACUCAACCACAAUUUAAUAGAAAGCAGGCUGGAACAAUAAAUAAAAAACAUAAACUGGAGAACUGUUUAUUAGUUCCCAUGUUAUAGUAGUAAUAUAUGUCCAACUCUACGUGGACGCGGCUGUUCUGCUCGCGAGCACAGGUGAGCACUUUAUCGAGACCAGUCGAUACCGCAUUGGGAUUGUGUCGUUGAAUUACUGAGCCAGCGCGUCGAGCAGUGUUAAAUCGCGAGGGGAGGGAAUACAGUAUACUGCCGCCUCGUACACCGCGUCGGGACGGAGCCCGCGGAUGGCGCCGUGACGGGAUUUCCCCUGAGCCGUGGCUCGGGGCGUCAGCGGAUUCCCUGAUCCUUUGCUCAGGAAAUCGAAUCUCCGUCAGUCGGCGCUGGGCAGGCCAGUAAAUGGCUACUAUGACAAACAGCGCCGCUGUCUCCCACCUCUCGCCAAUCUUUCUUGUGUCCGCCAUUGACGCCGUCCGAGAUCUGCGGAAGGAGUUCACGGCGGCGAGUUUCGUGGAUGGAGUUCCUGAUGCAACCAAUUAGGAGGUCCGCGGUGAUGGAGGAGGUGAAUGACAACCAGCUGCCAAUGGAGCCGGUGCACUACCCAGCGGUUGCGACAGCAACGGAGGAGCUGUCCCCCAUGGCCGCUGUAAGCGUUGACCGGCAGAUCUGUGCGGCGGAUGGGGCCGUUGCGGCGGAGGGGAAUGAUGAACCGCAGGCGUCUGAGCAAUCUAUUGGCUAGGUUGAUCCAAAAACACCAGGCUGGAAUCGCAGCCUUAGGAUUGGUGCUGCCGCACCGAGCAGAACACCAUGCCCAAAUCGAAUCAGUGCGUUUGAGAAGGAAGUCAGGUGUUGCGGAGAGAACCCAGCUGAAAACGUGAUCACACCGGUUCUCGGUACUAGUUUCGACUCUUUGGGCGAAACAUACGACUUGUGUGUACAUGUAGGUGGAUAUCAUCCGGAAAGCACGGUAAAACUGGUGCGUCGUCCUUGUGUACCAUUUGAGAUGAUGUUAUGUCGUACUUCAGCAAGUCAGCAGAUAACUGCUUCUGUAUUGACACCGUGUGCAAGAAUCGGACAACACCAGAGUCUGCUUGACAUAAAAGUCAUAAGUUAGUGCAGAUAAAAGCGCGUCAAAUGAAAUCAACAACUGUCAUAAGCUUAGUUGGGAGCUUGAAACUAGAGAGUGAAGGUCUUACUGAGAAUUCAGGUUCAAUAGGGUGCCUCCAGCUUAAAUAAGGGUUUUCGGUUUCUGCUUCAUCAUGUCAAGUUGGACGUGGCCUCGUGCAGUUGCGAGGUGCGAGAGGCAACGAGCAUUUAUUUCCUUCAAGAGGACUGUGAUCUCAUUUUUUUAAUUUACGUCUUCAAUAUCUGCCUUUUUAGUUAUUCUCUUCAUUUUUGGUAUGACCAUAGUUAGUCUCUUUCAGAUAUUUUAGGCUCUAAUUAUUCGUUUUUAUUUAUUUAGUUACCCAUUUCUGUUAGUGUUCAGUUUUUAUGUUCAUUGCUCUAUCUGCAAUUUACAUGAGCGAACUUUCUCAGUCCUCACUCUUUAUUCGUUAGUCCAUGUUCGGUCCCUCAUUUUUUCCUUUUUCUUUUUUAGCAGUUUAUGUUGCAUGCUCAUCGGUGAGCCUGUCAACAUCAGAGGGAGAGGGGAGAAGUUGAGCGGUACUCUUGGUUCAGAUGUUUUCCUUAGCAAUCGUUUGACGCAGAGCGUUCUGUCUUUCAUUUUAAGGACGUUGCAACCUAACAUGCAUGAUUCGGAAAGGGAUAACAUAAUGGCUGGCAUUCUGUAAACUUUUUGUCGAAUUGUUAGUAAACUUUUGAUAGAGCCUAAAUAUCAGUAUUUUUUCCCUUUUUAGAUUUCUUUAGUUUAAUUCGUUGUUCUUCUUUUAGUCAUAUUGUUCUUUUAUUUGAUCAGUGGUUGUCAGUAUUGUCGUUUCUUCAGUCUAUAUUCAGUUUAUGUGUUUUCAGUCUGUAUUCAGUUUAUGUGUUUUCAGUCUAUUAUUCACUUUAUCAUUUCAGUUUUUAAGUCUUCAUUUUAUUUUCUUCAUCAUUCUGAUCCCGUGGAUUGAAUGAGGUUUCAGUGGCGUCAAAUUGCACCAUGAUCAGAUACAUGCUGUGAAAUCAUAUUUUGCAUGGGGGCACCAAGAAGCCUGCGGCGUGGCUCAAGCGGUGUCACUUCCAGUGGCUAUAGCAACCAAAAACCAAAAGCCCUCUAUAUUCUGAUGGCAAAGCUGAUGUAUGUAUCCCACGGGGCAUCACAUAAAUUACCAUUCAAGGUAGGUUCCAGUCUGCAGAUCGCGAGGGACGGUAUGGCUGGAAUACGCUUGGUAACAGGGAGCAUUACCACUGCUGCGUACAAGACCUCUAAGGAAGACCAUCUCGUCAAUAAGCUACGAGAACAAGGGCCAUUAGUUUUUGCAAGUGGAGAUGCAACCAUUGGAAACCAGAACGAUGAUGCUACUUCGGCAAAUGAGACUGGGAACAGGCUCGCUGGAUGUUGGCGCCAAAGAAGCCAAAAGAGAUGGGUCGCCCAACAACUAGCCAAGAGAAGGCGCCGUACGAGGGGCUCAGCAAACGGACAAGCUUCUGCACGAUAUGUUGCCAGCAGGGGCACAAGAGGACAACCUGAUAUCCCCAAGCCAGUUUGUAAACCAGUGCGGCACAAAAACUGCGGCGUUGAAGGUCACAAACGAAACAACUGCCGCAAAGUAGGUGAUCUGCGGCUAAACAACAUGUGAUGAUUUGUGUUGCUAAUGUAUGUGUUUGUAUGUUGUUUUCAGGCGUACUGUCUGUCUUUGUAUACAGAGUGGUGUACAUAUGGUUGUUGAUCUGUCUUGGUGAUUCUGUGAAGUGCAUUUCCCAUUGCCAACAUGGUUUCUGUUGGCUGAAUUUUUUACUGAGACAAUCUGGUUAUCUUUGGCUGCUAGAUGGGCAAUUGUGCUAAAUGCUGGACAAGUGCAUGCCUGUGUGAGGCCGUGCGCCCAGUGCUUGGCCGAUCCAUUUCUAAUUGCACUACAAGAGCAGGGAAAACAGAGGAGCAAUUACAUAAGCGUUCCUCCACCAUGCGUGCCCCAUCUGACCGAUCCAUCCCUUUUCGUUUAGGUAGAAAAGACUGAAUACUACAGGGCAGUUCUUGCCAUGGCUCUGACCGUGCUAUCCCUAUGGGCGUCUGGCAUUACAAAAUCAGAUGCAACUCGCAAGCUGGAUGAAGUAUCCGCAGAGGUGAUUCCCCUUGCGCUGUAAACUCUGUUGUAGCAUGAAUUGGCAGGAACUUCUAUUUAAGUUGUACAGCUCGCGUGCAGGGUUCAGUUGAGCUGAAAGUUCAGUAAACCAGCCUGUAGGACUACAAGUUGUUACGCUGACUUCAUCUUCGGGAGUGUCUGCUGUCUUUGAGCAGGUAAGAAGAUUCAGUCCACCCAUUAAUUCUGUUCCUGAUUUUUCUCCUUGCUUAUCUUGACGAGUUUCCUGCAGGAGACAUGCCAUGCAACCGCAGAUCUGGAGACAUAAGAGAUGGGCCCGCAGGACGAAGUGCAGAUGCAGGCGCUCCGCGCGGUGGAUGAACGGUGCAGAGAACACGAUCCGGAAAAGCAUGAUUAGCUGCUGUGUGAGCUUGCCGAGCCCCGAGCUUGAAGACGGCGAGCAGUCUACGGCUGGGGCGUGCGGCGACUGGAGAUAGCUGCCGUCGUUGGUCCAGAAUCAGCGAGUUAGCGGCCCAGUCCGUGACGCUGUACCAAUGGCCGUUUGCUAGAAGUGGGCCAAUAUAACUGUUCAUUAAUAGAUAUACGGCAGUAAUACGUGGGCCUGUAUGCGUCAGAAUGGGAAUCUCGAAGAUCACGGGCGGGAGGGAUAUCGCGA